This is a long non-coding RNA of Oncorhynchus keta (chum salmon), 1177 nucleotides long. RefSeq lists it as uncharacterized. The transcript is spliced from 3 exons. Lineage: Eukaryota; Metazoa; Chordata; Actinopteri; Salmoniformes; Salmonidae. The record is from RefSeq and is a predicted model, not a curated record.
ACUAGCCAAUCAACCGCUCAACAACAAAAUUGUGAGGAAAAAAAAGGUGCACGCGUGACUGAUGAAUGAAGUUCCUUGUUGCAAUACCAUGGUCGUUUGUUACUGCAGUCACGCUGCACAGGUGAUCAGAUCUCCCGACGCUUCCCAAAAUCUAAGCGCCCCAUUGAUAUGAUACAGCGAUCUUCUGGAAUGCGCAGCAUGACCGCAAUAAAGACGACGCAGAACUCAACCAAUGACACAGCAGCGAUGACAAGAGAUGUUCAUUUCUGUCAGCACGACACAUAAGGAAUCCCGGUGGCUGUGCCGACUCCGACAACAUACCCUGAUGUCUCUCUGGAAGGCAACCCUUGCCCUAAUUCCGUCUAUCUUGUUAUCGGAAGCGGUGAGUGGUGUGCACGCCUCCGAAGUCUGACCAGGAGGUCGCUUCGUCUACAUCUUCUGCGGCAAAGUUGGACAUAAUGCUGGCAUACAUCAGAAGGGCUCGUCCUUUGAGUUUUUAGCUUUUCCUGUUGAUUCCUCACAGAGAUCUGGCCAUUGUCACACAGGUCUACAACCGAUGAAUGGCCAUUGUGUGAAGAAUGGCCAUUGUGUGAAUUUACAUUACGCAAGCAUUUCUGAUGGAUGUUGCACAGUAACAACAAACGAUAUCAAAAAGCGCAGGUGGCCUGUUUCUUGACUUUGUCACAAGGACUUUGUGUCUGUUGGUUAUGGCUUGCAUUCAAAUGUAAAAUUAGAAAGCCGUUUGUAUAGACCUACAUAACUACAUUUCUAAGGUGUUGCACAUGAUGUAAUAUGAUCCGUUACAUUUGUUAUGUCACACAUUUGAUUGAUGAUGUAUAUGUUGUCAUUACACAUGCAUGAAUGAUUCAUGAAAAAGUUAACGAUAAAUAUGUGGAAUAUUGAGUUGUUUUAAAAAAAAAAUGUAUGAUGGGGCCCACUGAUCUAUGCCUAAAUGUUAAUUAUUGCACCUAGGUACAUACCGUACACUCUCCCCAACCACCAUAUCUGAUCGUUAAAGACAUCAGGCAUGUGUCAGUGAUGAGGCUUCACUCACAAUGAUUCCAACCAGAGUGUGAAAAAAUAUAUGAAUUAUGCAGGAUCACGUCCCAGGUUACUACUUGAAUUCCUGGAUACAUUUGACUGUAGGGGGGUUCUACCUAAACAGGAUAGGGAUGGA